UAACGGCGAGUGAAGCGGCAACAGCUCAAAUUUGAAAUCUGGCCUCGGCCCGAGUUGUAAUUUGUAGAGGAAGCUUCUGGUGCGGUCUGUUCCGAGUCCCCUGGAACGGGGCGCCAUAGAGGGUGAGAGCCCCGUACGGACGGAUACCAAUCCUGUGUGAAGCUCCUUCGACGAGUCGAGUAGUUUGGGAAUGCUGCUCAAAAUGGGAGGUAAAUUCCUUCUAAAGCUAAAUACCGGCCAGAGACCGAUAGCGCACAAGUAGAGUGAUCGAAAGAUGAAAAGCACUUUGAAAAGAGGGUUAAACAGCACGUGAAAUUGUUGAAAGGGAAGCGCUUAUGACCAGACUUGCGCCAGGCUGAUCAUCCGGUGUUCUCACCGGUGCACUCUGCCUGGCUCAGGCCAGCAUCGGUUUCCGCGGGGGGAUAAAGGUCCCGGGAAUGUAGCUCCUCCGGGAGUGUUAUAGCCCGGGGCGCAAUGCCCUCGUGGGGACCGAGGUUCGCGCAUCUGCAAGGAUGCUGGCGUAAUGGUCAUCAGCGA
This 537-nucleotide ribosomal RNA is filed under the name Sordariomycetes sp. RNAcentral describes it as "LSU rRNA". It matches the Rfam family "Eukaryotic large subunit ribosomal RNA", at positions 84 to 647 of the family's 3401-position model. Lineage: Eukaryota; Fungi; Ascomycota; Sordariomycetes. The record is from RNAcentral.